UCUUGAGAACCGUUAUGAUUUCAAAGUUUAUACUUGACAUGUAUAUGAACCAACACCAGAGGGUGUGUCAUAAUUUAUGAACGACUGCCUAGGGCAAAGUUCAAGGUCAAAAACUUUGGUUUCAGUUGACAACCCUGUGUCCUGUGGUGAAGAUCGUGUCCGCUCUAUAUCUUGAGAACCGUUAUGAUUUCAAAGUUUAUACUUGACAUGUUUAUAAACCAACACCAAAGGGUGUGUCAUAAUUUAUUUACAACUUCCUAGGUCAAAGGUCAAGGUCAAAAACUUUGAUUUCAGUUGACAAACCCAUGUCCUAUGGUAAAGAUACAAUUUUUUAAUGCACAUUAUUCACAGCGGGGCCCACAGAGAUGGCUCCCAUCUCAAUGAUAUCUAGUUAUUUGUGUUUUUUGUCCACACUGAGGUCAUAAACUUCCAAUCCAGCUUAUAGCAGGUAUGCU
This 455-nucleotide long non-coding RNA is filed under the name Mytilus galloprovincialis (Mediterranean mussel). Lineage: Eukaryota; Metazoa; Mollusca; Bivalvia; Mytilida; Mytilidae. The record is from RNAcentral.